UCAAAACUUUCAACAACGGAUCUCUUGGUUCUGGCAUCGAUGAAGAACGCAGCGAAAUGCGAUAAGUAAUGUGAAUUGCAGAAUUCAGUGAAUCAUCGAAUCUUUGAACGCACAUUGCGCCCGCCAGUAUUCUGGCGGGCAUGCCUGUUCGAGCGUCAUUU
Molecule: ribosomal RNA, 161 nt
Filed under: Epichloe festucae
Lineage: Eukaryota; Fungi; Ascomycota; Sordariomycetes; Hypocreales; Clavicipitaceae
Description: 5.8S ribosomal RNA
Rfam family: 5.8S ribosomal RNA
About the family: 5.8S ribosomal RNA (5.8S rRNA) is a component of the large subunit of the eukaryotic ribosome. It is transcribed by RNA polymerase I as part of the 45S precursor that also contains 18S and 28S rRNA. Functionally, it is thought that 5.8S rRNA may be involved in ribosome translocation.
Source: RNAcentral